AGGACGAACGCUGGCGGCGUGCUUAACACAUGCAAGUCGAGCGGAAAGGCCCUUCGGGGUACUCGAGCGGCGAACGGGUGAGUAACACGUGAGCAACCUGCCCUUAGCUCUGGGAUAGCUCCGGGAAACCGGAAUUAAUACCGGAUAUGACCUAGGCCGACAUCGGCCGUGGUGGAAAGUUUUUCGGCUAGGGAUGGACUCGCGGCCUAUCAGCUAGUUGGUGGGGUAAUGGCCUACCAAGGCAUCGACGGGUAGCUGGUCUGAGAGGACGAUCAGCCACACUGGGACUGAGACACGGCCCAGACUCCUACGGGAGGCAGCAGUGGGGAAUCUUGCGCAAUGGGCGAAAGCCUGACGCAGCAACGCCGCGUGGGGGAUGAAGGCCUUCGGGUUGUAAACCCCUUUCAGCAGGGACGAAGCGAAAGUGACGGUACCUGCAGAAGAAGCGCCGGCUAACUACGCGCCAGCAGCCGC
RNAcentral lists this ribosomal RNA (474 nucleotides) under uncultured bacterium. Its description in RNAcentral is "SSU rRNA". It matches the Rfam family "Bacterial small subunit ribosomal RNA", at positions 26 to 518 of the family's 1533-position model. The record is from RNAcentral.